Molecule: ribosomal RNA, 279 nt
Filed under: uncultured bacterium
Lineage: Bacteria
Description: partial 16S ribosomal RNA
Rfam family: Bacterial small subunit ribosomal RNA
Source: RNAcentral
UGCCAGCCGCCGCGGUAAAACGUAGGGGGCUAGCGUUGUUCGGAAUUACUGGGCGUAAAGCGCGUGUAGGCGGUUUAGUAAGUCAGAAGUGAAAUCCCUCGGCUCAACCGAGGAAGUGCGCCCGAAACUACUAGGCUUGAGUACCGGAGAGGGUGGCGGAAUUCCCGGUGUAGAGGUGAAAUUCGUAGAUAUCGGGAGGAACACCAGCGGCGAAGGCGGCCACCUGGACGGAUACUGACGCUGAGACGCGAAAGCGUGGGGAGCAAACAGGAUUAGAUA